Molecule: long non-coding RNA, 284 nt
Filed under: Mytilus galloprovincialis (Mediterranean mussel)
Lineage: Eukaryota; Metazoa; Mollusca; Bivalvia; Mytilida; Mytilidae
Source: RNAcentral
UUGGCCGUUUUUCAUUGGGGGGUACAACAACAUUUUCGUAAGCAUAAGCAUAAUUACUACAUGCGGUACACAAAUAUACGGCUCGGUCCGACAAAAACCCUUUAUCACUACGAUUUCAUCAAGAUCUUUUGCAAUUUUCCUAACGGAACGUUUAUGAAGUAUAAAAGCUGUUUCCUUUGAAAAUUCCUCAUGUUUGUUGCAACUGCAUUGUGUUUUUUUUUUUUAUGUUAGCACAAUUUUUUUUAAAAAAAUAACUAAAAUGAUAAAUUCAAAUGAACUUUCAU